This 339-nucleotide long non-coding RNA is filed under the name Glycine max (soybean). RNAcentral describes it as "long non-coding RNA (GMAX_LNC000717)". The record is from RNAcentral. Lineage: Eukaryota; Viridiplantae; Streptophyta; Magnoliopsida; Fabales; Fabaceae.
UAAAGUAUAAUACAUGCAUUUUAACAAAUUACUUGACAUGAUCUGGGAACACUGCAUACACUGAAUCACUGAUACACAUUGCCAUCCAGAUAUGAACAAUCUUUGAUUUCUAAAGCUGCAUAUAUACUCCCACCCCGCGUCCCCAUUCUCAAGCCAUAUACAAUUAAACAUGUUAUGUUUAAUGCUAUUUAUUAAUAGAGCUGUUUUUCCUCCUGCAGACACCAGAUCCACUCCCAACGUUCAAUCCAAUCACCUGCCCUCUUGGAAUUCACAAUGUGAGUUUUUAUAUCUUGGACCUGAAAUAAUGGAGGAGACAUAGCAAAGGUAUCUCAAUGCAAG